ACCUGAGGGAAGAGACUGGGGCGCGAGAGCUACGCGCUGAGGGGCUGCCGCGAGCUCCCGGACUAGCGGAGCUGGAAGAGGGGAAGUUUGGGAAUGCUAGUGGAGACCCGGCUGGUGUUAAAACCUUUUCGUUAUAGGAAGAGGACAACUAUUAAUGAACUCAGAUACAGAUGUUGCCUCCUUUCACUUCUGCCCCAUACGUCGGUACUGAAGCUCCAGGGAAGCAGCUAGCCUCUCAGCAUUCUCAGAUGAGCUUUCAGGAUAAUUCAUUUUGAACAGGCAUCUUCUCACAGUGGAGAAAUGUGUAUGGUUACAUGAUGGAUUUUGGAGUGACAUGGUCCUGAGUUUGAAUUCAAACCCUGACACCAUAUUGUAAGUUACUGUGAGGCAUUGAGCCAGUUCCUUAACUUUUCUUAUUAUCAGUGUUGUCAUCUGUAAAAUAAGGGUACAAUAUUGCUCACUGCAUAGGGCAGUUGAGAAGUUCAAAUGAGAAGUGGCAGGUAAAUUUCUCAGUACAGAGCUUUGGGGAUUAUUCAAGGAGAGCUCCUUGUAG
Molecule: non-coding RNA, 553 nt
Organism: Microcebus murinus (gray mouse lemur)
Lineage: Eukaryota; Metazoa; Chordata; Mammalia; Primates; Cheirogaleidae
Source: RefSeq, a predicted model, not a curated record